This 184-nucleotide unclassified non-coding RNA is filed under the name uncultured fungus. RNAcentral's name for it is "sequence contains ITS2". Lineage: Eukaryota; Fungi. The record is from RNAcentral.
ACACGAUCAACUCUAGUUAGAGUUGGAAUUGGCCUCAUGCGUCGCAUGACGCAUCUGGUUUGAAUGGAUCAAGUUGAUGGGCUUCCCAGCGGUGCUAAAUGUGUGCUAGCGAGGCAGUCGUCCCGAUCUCACAUUUAGUCUCGUUGCAGAGUCCUAAUCACGGCUUGUAAAUACAUUUUAUCUA